CUCAAUUACAAGUACAGAGUCAUUAGUCAAAGUAUGAUGAUUUUUCAGAGUAUCGCAUUCAAAGGCUCUCUCAAAGAUGAUAAAUAUUUCAUGACUAUACGGAAUUGAUCUUUAAUUGAUGAAUUCCGGAUUCAAUUUCAACUUAUCGACUAUACACACACUCAACCAAUGGCUCCAAUUUACAACUAUGUUUUACUUAAAUGCAAGUUCGAGUCGAGACCCGUUGAUUAUCGAAGAAGGCCGAUGACGCAAUCGAGAGCGAAACGAGUUUAAGAGAUGAUGGGGAUGCUUGUCAAAGCCACUAUUGAUGACACCAUGUUCGGGACGCAAAAUGGAGCAAGUUUCAUGUUGGGGUCGAAGGCCGAAGAGAUUUGGAUCAACGUAAUAAAGGUGAACGAAAAAGAUGCUGCUGAACAAAGCCAUG
This 424-nucleotide long non-coding RNA is filed under the name Olea europaea subsp. europaea. Lineage: Eukaryota; Viridiplantae; Streptophyta; Magnoliopsida; Lamiales; Oleaceae. The record is from RNAcentral.